This 497-nucleotide ribosomal RNA is filed under the name uncultured bacterium. RNAcentral describes it as "partial 16S ribosomal RNA". It matches the Rfam family "Bacterial small subunit ribosomal RNA", at positions 28 to 507 of the family's 1533-position model. The record is from RNAcentral.
GAUGAACGCUGGCGGCGUGCCUAAUACAUGCAAGUCGAGCGAACGGACGAGAAGCUUGCUUUUCUGAUGUUAGCGGCGGACGGGUGAGUAACACGUGGAUAACCUACCUAUAAGACUGGGAUAACUUCGGGAAACCGGAGCUAAUACCGGAUAAUAUUUUGAACCGCAUGGUUCAAAAGUGAAAGACGGCCUUGCUGUCACUUAUAGAUGGAUCCGCGCUGCAUUAGCUAGUUGGUAAGGUAACGGCUUACCAAGGCAACGAUGCAUAGCCGACCUGAGAGGGUGAUCGGCCACACUGGAACUGAGACACGGUCCAGACUCCUACGGGAGGCAGCAGUAGGGAAUCUUCCGCAAUGGGCGAAAGCCUGACGGAGCAACGCCGCGUGAGUGAUGAAGGUCUUCGGAUCGUAAAACUCUGUUAUUAGGGAAGAACAUAUGUGUAAGUAACUGUGCACAUCUUGACGGUACCUAAUCAGAAAGCCGCGGCUAACUACGUG